ACUUUGUUUGAUCCUACAAGGUUGACUUCUGGGUCCGAGGGCUGCUGGAUUAUUCUGUUCAAUAUUGAAAUCACAUGUAUUUGAAAUUGGAAAAGCAUUUAUUGAACAUUCAUUUAUGACCUUUUGUUCAUUGAACAUCAGAAUCAGCUUUAUUGAGCAAGUUUGUGCAUCCCAAACAGGGAAUUUGACUUGGGUUGAUCUCGGCCUCUGUACAACAUUUAACAUAACAUAACGUGCGGGGAUAUCCCGGUUGACUUGCGUAUGCACGGCUCAGAACGGAAACACCAAAUAAUCGUUUGUCCUCGAUUAUAUGAAUUUUGAGAUUGUCUUUGAUUAAUUGAGCAGCCCUACUGGAUCCUGGAUAGCAAACGAAUGCACGGACCGCUUUCCAUACUGGUUUGGUAACAAAAUGUCCUCCACUGCUUUAUGUCGUGUUGGUUAGAGCUGCUUGCUAUUGCAAUGAAGAACUAUGCAUGUACAUUUCUUUGGUUGUGAAUUUUAAUGUGUGGUGAUGAUGAGGGAAGGUGACAAUGGUCAGGGCAAAUGACUUCUGUCCCACACUGCUUCCAACGUCUGACUUCUUUCCCAAUUUGAUAGACUGAAUCACAAGCGCUGCUGAUGUCCACCAGUCGGACUUGUGAAGAAGGAAGUCCUCUGUAAAUAUUCUGUGCAGGGGAGGAGUUAAACGUGAGUGUUGUGUUGACCUCAAUGGUGUAAAAAAUAAUAAUAAUAGUACUGUUCAUUUGCUUGGGGUCGCUCUUGUUUACUGUACUCUUUGAUACUGGAAUGCCAGAUAUAUUUCUAGAGCAAAAUUUGGAUUUUAUGCAAUCUGUUUUCAUUUCAAUUAAAAGCAAUAAAAGGAGAAAUGUGUUGUCAUGAA
Molecule: long non-coding RNA, 880 nt
Organism: Syngnathus acus (greater pipefish)
Lineage: Eukaryota; Metazoa; Chordata; Actinopteri; Syngnathiformes; Syngnathidae
Exons: 3
Source: RefSeq, a predicted model, not a curated record